UUUUUUUUUUUUUUUUUGAGACGGAGUCUUGCUCUAUCUCCAGGCUGGAGUGCAGUGGCACGAUCUCGGCUCACUGCAACCUCUGCCUCCUGGGUUCAAGCGAUUCCUUUGCCUCAGCCUCCUGAGUAGCUGGGACUACAGAUGUGUGCCACCAAGCCUGGCUAGUUUUUCACAUUUUAGUAGAGACAGGGUUUCACUAUGUUGGUCAGAAUGGUCUUGAUCUCCUGACCUCGUGAUCCACCUGCCUCGGCCUCCCAAAGUGCUGGGAUAACAGACGUGAGCCACCAUGCCUCACAUUUUUUUUUUUCCAGUUUCUGUCUAUUAUUGUUGUAUACUUGCAUUUGAGUUUAGUCAUAGAAAAUAAUUCAUAAAAUUUCAGUUUUAAAAAAUUUGGUAAGACUUCUUUUUUGGCCUAAGAGGUGGUCUAUCAAGAAAUAUGUUGUAUGAGCUAUUGAGAAGGGUGUGUAUCCUGAUGUUGAGGAGUGCUCUCUAUACCUCUGUCAGAAAUAUUUGUUUUAUACCACCUUUAAGUAGUCUGUUUCCUUAUUAAUAUUCUGUUUUGAUUUUUUUUUAAUUAUACUUUAAAUUCUGGGGUACAUGUGCAGAGCAUACAGGUUUGUUACAUAGGUAUGCACAUGCUCUGGUGGUUUGCUGUACCUAUCAACCUGUUAUCUACAUUAGGUAUUUUUCCUAAUGUUAUUCAUCCACUAGCCUCCCACCCCACCACAGGCCCCGGUGUGUGAUGUGCCCCUUCCUGUGUCCCUGUGUUGUCGUUGUUCAACUCCCACUUAUGAGUGAGAACAUGCUGUGUUUAGUUUUCUGUUCUUGUGUUAGUUUGCUGAGAAUGAUGGUUUCCAGCUUUAUCCAUGUCUCUGCAAAGGACAUGAACUCAUCCUUUUUUAUGGCUGCAUACUGUUACGUGGUGUGUAUGUGCCACAUUUUCUUUAUCCAGUCUAUUACUAAUGGGCAUUUGGGUGGGUUCCAAAUCUUUGCUAUUGUGAAUAGUGCUGCAAUAAACGUAUGUGUGCAUGUGUCUUUAUAGUAGAAUGAUUUAUAAUUUUUUGGGUACCCAGUAAUAGAAUUGCUGAGUCAAAUGGUAUUUCUAGUUCUGGAUCCUUGAGGAAUUGCCACAUUGUCUUCCACAAUCGCUGAACUAAUUUACACUCCAACCAACAGUGUAAAAGCAUUCGUACUUCUCCACAUCUUCUCGAGCAUCUGUUAUUUCCUGACUUUUUAAUGAUCACCAUUCUAACUGGGAUGAAAUGGUAUCUCAUUGUGGUUUUCAUUUGCAUUUCUCUAAUGACCCGUGAUGAUGAGCUUUUUUUCAUAUGUUUGUUGGCCACACAAAUAUCUUUUUUUGAGAAGUAUCUGUUCAUAUCCUUUGCCCACUUUUUGAUGUUUUUUUUUUUU
RNAcentral lists this long non-coding RNA (1410 nucleotides) under Macaca fascicularis (crab-eating macaque). RNAcentral describes it as "lncRNA (ENSMFAG00000061228.1)". The record is from RNAcentral. Lineage: Eukaryota; Metazoa; Chordata; Mammalia; Primates; Cercopithecidae.